Molecule: ribosomal RNA, 441 nt
Filed under: Paracoccus sp. TJD650
Lineage: Bacteria; Pseudomonadati; Pseudomonadota; Alphaproteobacteria; Rhodobacterales; Paracoccaceae
Also listed under: 1 other name
Description: bacterial SSU rRNA
Rfam family: Bacterial small subunit ribosomal RNA
Source: RNAcentral
AGAGUUUGAUCCAUGGCUCAGAACGAACGCUGGCGGCAGGCCUAACACAUGCAAGUCGAGCGAGAUCUUCGGGUCUAGCGGCGGACGGGUGAGUAACGCGUGGGAAUAUGCCUUUCACUACGGAAUAGUCCUGGGAAACUGGGUUUAAUACCGUAUACGCCCUUCGGGGGAAAGAAUUUCGGUGAAAGAUUAGCCCGCGUUGGAUUAGGUAGUUGGUGGGGUAAUGGCCUACCAAGCCUACGAUCCAUAGCUGGUUUGAGAGGAUGAUCAGCCACACUGGGACUGAGACACGGCCCAGACUCCUACGGGAGGCAGCAGUGGGGAAUCUUAGACAAUGGGGGCAACCCUGAUCUAGCCAUGCCGCGUGAGUGAUGAAGGCCUUAGGGUUGUAAAGCUCUUUCAGCUGGGAAGAUAAUGACGNACCAGCAGAAGAGCCCCGCA